CCUUCGGGUUGUAAAGCUCUUUUGUCAGGGAAGAAACGGUGUUUUCUAAUACAGAAUGCUAAUGACGGUACCUGAAGAAUAAGCACCGGCUAACUACGUGC
This 101-nucleotide ribosomal RNA is filed under the name uncultured bacterium. RNAcentral's name for it is "partial 16S ribosomal RNA". The record is from RNAcentral.